GCCAGAGUAGCUCAAUGGUAGAGCAAGCGCAUCGUAAGCGUUAGGUUGAGGGUUCGAUUCCCUCCUCUGGCUCCA
RNAcentral lists this transfer RNA (75 nucleotides) under Patescibacteria group bacterium. RNAcentral's name for it is "tRNA-Thr". It matches the Rfam family "tRNA". From Rfam's summary of the family: Transfer RNA (tRNA) molecules are approximately 80 nucleotides in length. Their secondary structure includes four short double-helical elements and three loops (D, anti-codon, and T loops). Further hydrogen bonds mediate the characteristic L-shaped molecular structure. tRNAs have two regions of fundamental functional importance: the anti-codon, which is responsible for specific mRNA codon recognition, and the 3' end, to which the tRNAs corresponding amino acid is attached (by aminoacyl-tRNA synthetases). tRNAs cope with the degeneracy of the genetic code in two manners: having more than one tRNA (with a specific anti-codon) for a particular amino acid; and 'wobble' base-pairing, i.e. permitting non-standard base-pairing at the 3rd anti-codon position. The record is from RNAcentral.